GACGAACGCUGGCGGCGUGCUUAACACAUGCAAGUCGAACGGAAAGGCCCUGCUUGCAGGGUACUCGAGUGGCGAACGGGUGAGUAACACGUGGGUGAUCUGCCCUGCACUUCGGGAUAAGCCUGGGAAACUGGGUCUAAUACCGGAUAGGAGCCAUUUUUAGUGUGAUGGUUGGAAAGUUUUUUCGGUGUAGGAUGAGCUCGCGGCCUAUCAGCUUGUUGGUGGGGUAAUGGCCUACCAAGGCGGCGACGGGUAGCCGGCCUGAGAGGGUGGACGGCCACAUUGGGACGGGGAUACGGCCCAGACUCCUACGGGAGGCAGCAGUGGGGAAUAUUGCACAAUGGGCGCAAGCCUGAUGCAGCGACGCCGCGUGGGGGAUGACGGCCUUCGGGUUGUAAACUCCUUUCGCUAGGGACGAAGCUUUUUGUGACGGUACCUAGAUAAGAAGCACCGGCUAACUACGUG
Molecule: ribosomal RNA, 465 nt
Filed under: uncultured bacterium
Lineage: Bacteria
Description: partial 16S ribosomal RNA
Rfam family: Bacterial small subunit ribosomal RNA
Source: RNAcentral